AUGGGGUGGAGGGGAGCUCCGCACCACCGGCUCGGCUCACCCCCGUCCCACCCACACUCUGGCCAAGUUGGCCCCCAGCCCCCUCUGCCCCAGCACAGCAGCCUGGGACCUGACACCCCAAAGCCGGUCGGGCUCAGAGUCCUACCGGCCCUGCUCGUUAACGUCAGCCAGGCCCAUGUGACCUUGCCUAUGCUGGACGCUGCCCCCACCUCCUCUCUGUACCCCCCAAGACAUUGUAGCCAUUCCUGCUCUACUUCCCACCACCUACAGGACACAGCCUCCCACCCCAGUGCCAGUCCACUCCGCAGCCCAGGGAGUCUGCCAGCUACACUCCCGCUGCAGACAGAGGUGAAAGAGCCCCCAGAGGAGGGCGUCCCAGACCUGCCUGGAACCCGGGAAACAGCCUGCGCUCCUGGUCCCCUGGCCCACCCACCCACCUACCUGCGCGCCAACCCCACCCUGGGACCUCCUCUUUGGGUGGUCAGCAACAUCUCGAGACCAACAUCUGCACAGCCCAACGUUUAUCUGAGCCUGGUCUCACCUGCCGCCCCCCGGCCAUGGUGGGAGACAGGCCCAGCAGCGAGACGCAAGGUUCCGAGAGCAGAGAACAUAGGACAGAGGGAAGGCUGUCGGUCAGAUGAGGCGGGCAGGGCAGACAUGGCCGCAUGCCGGUCUCCAUCAGUCCAUCCUUGACCAUCUCCCCAAGUCUCGAAGACCCACAGUGGCCGCUCCCACACCGGCCGGCUGGGAAAAGGCCCACGGUGGAGGGUGCACGCCGGGGCAGCCAGGGAUUGGUCACUGCCUGAAUGUCCCCGGACGGAUGCCCGUGUGCCCUUGGGCAGCCUUCCCCCCGGACAGGCUGUCCAGGCCGGGGAAACCCUAAGCCAAAGGGAUUAAGAAGAAAGGACAGAAUCGGCCGUUCCUUUGGCCGUGAUCAUUUGUGCCUCAUUUAGUGUAUAUUUGUUCAGUGGGUAAAAACACGGAGGUGAUGACGCCAAGGUCGGGAUGUGCUCCCAUCACUCAGGUCAGCCGCACGGAGGCCGGCCCCGCCCGCCCGCCCGCCCUGCCAGCCUGCCUCUCCCCAGCAGCCAUCUUGCACAUUCCUGUGGUCAGCCGGGAGGGCCACGGGAUCCUUCCCCAGCUCUGGGGUGACCGGAUGGGGAUGCGAGUGCAACCCUCUGCUCAGGCGCUGGAACCGGCCCGGGGCCCCUGACCCAAGCCCUGAGCAUCCUCCCUGCAGGCCCCUGUCCCAGAUGGGGCUGGAACCUCCAGCCUCGCUCUGGUCUGAGCUAGGGGUCCAACCCUGGAUGGCCACCUCUUCCUUCAUGGGCCUGGCCAGCCCCUGCGAGCUGAAGGUGUUUGCUGAUAGGCACCUUGUGGGGGGUCCCUGGGGGCCCCAGGGCUCCUGUGGCUGCAGACCUGGGAUCCCAGGCACCUUGGAGAUGCCAGGCCAUGGUUGACUUCUGCUCAACAGCCUCCUGACCCCAUUGCGUGCUAGAGGCUUCCUGGGGUGGGGGCACACAGGGAAGAGCCUGGAGGGUCUUUCUCAGGAUGGGGCUGGUGGGAAAGAUGCUCUAGUCUCUCCCGCCUAUCAGCAAUGGGAUGUUGAUGGUGGCCUUGACCGCAAAACCCCAGGUCACCGCGGCAAAGGCCAGAGGGACCCCAUGGUGUCAGGAAAGGACUAGGAUCCAGC
This 1693-nucleotide long non-coding RNA is filed under the name Vulpes vulpes (red fox). RNAcentral describes it as "lncRNA (ENSVVUG00000002598.1)". The record is from RNAcentral. Lineage: Eukaryota; Metazoa; Chordata; Mammalia; Carnivora; Canidae.